GUCAAGUUUUAGGGUGAUUGUGGGAAAUUGAAGCUCACUGUUUAAACCACUUUGAAGCCGGUAUUCAAAUAUUGGUAAGUUUUGACUUUCAGCUGUUUUCCCAUCUGGGUUUCUCUUCUGUCAAUUUGGUACUGUGGACCUUGGAGACUUUGAUUGAAUAUUGCAGUGAUGGCAAGAAAUUGAACUCAGCAUGUUUAGAGCACUUCAAAAAUACUUGAUCUCAAAUAUCAGUGGGCUUUGAACUUUCUGUUCUUUUACUAUCUGGGUAGCUCUCCAUCAAUUUGAUGAAAAUUGACUAUAUUGGUGAACUCUCGUGAAGUUGUAAUUUCAUUUUUCUGGUGUUCUCUUGAUUUCGUCUGGCCCUGCCGCAACUUAGUGGAUCUAGAGAUGCUUGCACUGUAUAUUAGUUUUCAAAGAUGGAAUUUAGUAACAUUAUCUUCUUGAGAAUGGCUGCAGUUGUGUUCAGUCUUUUGCUGUUAGUGCAAUUGCCAAGAAUCCUUGCCUCUGACUUGGGAAUACAGUCAAAAGUUUGCGGUACUGAUCAUGUUGCCUAUUUGAAUUCCCAUGGCUAUGAAUUGUUUUACAUAAAUGGGGAUGUAGUAGAUAAAGAUGUGUUCUGUAAGGCCCUGAAAGUCUACUAUGCAAAUAAUUGCGUCUUUGAAGGACAUCCUGGAAGUAACUACUGUGGAUUGAAUCUUCCAUUAGGUAUGUGCUAUAUUAAAUUGUUGAUUUGGGGUGGGUUUCUGAUUCAUUCUAAGAAAAUAUUCAUCUUUUCUUUGUGGCAGUUGAGUUGCCUGCAAACGCAGGAAGAAAAUUUUUGAGAAGGCUGAUUCAGGAAGAGUCCACAAUAGAUAAUCUGAACAAUCAUGAGAGAGAAACCAAGCAUCGCAAAUCUGCCUCAUCUCCUAAGGUGAUAGCCAUGGCAGUACCUGGAAUUUUAGUUCUGUGCUGCAGUUUACUUUGUCCUUGCUUCCGUGCAAAAAGAAAAGAAACUGAUCAUGCUGUUCUUUCCAAGGAACCAAUUUCAAGUAAGUUGGAAACUUCUUAUGCUUGGAGUUUUCAAUUUUGUGAUUGGAAAUCCUGCCAACACUUGUGAUUGGAAAUCCUGCCAACACUUGUGAUAUAGGAUUUUCUUAACAACGUAACUAGAAAAUUUAUCAAUGUUAAUGUCAGCUUUGCCUGUGCAUUUGCACAUUUUUAGGGUUGGAUUAGGUAAAUCCAAAGGCAGAAAUCAGUUCUGCUGAACUCUUUUCUCAUUAUUGUAGCAGUGAAAUGAUUUUUGCUAACUUUUCAAUUUCCCAAUCAUUGAUCAUUGCUAGAAAUUUUACCUAAACUGGCACAUUACACUUUGGUUCAUUAUUUCUUGAAGCUAGUCAAUGAAUUAGUGGUUGUGUUCUUGCAGCAGAUUCAAUUUCCUCUUUUGAAGUGAUCUCUGCUCCUGAAAAGGUCCCGGCCAGUCCGUUACGAGUGCCACCAAGUCCUUCCCGUUUCUCUAUUUCCCCAAAACCCAAUAAAAUUGAAUCAGUGCAUCUCAAUAUGAAUCAGAUUGCUAGAGCAACCAACAAUUUCUCACCCUCACUAAAGAUAGGUGAAGGAGGCUUUGGAACUGUCUACAAGGCCCAGUUACAAGAUGGCCAAGUGGUUGCCAUAAAACGAGCAAAGAAGGUAAGCAAGAGUUUCUUAGACCCUUUCUCCAGCCAAGGACUGGAAUUGCUCUGCCUUGAUAGACAGUGCCUAUUAAAAUAUGUACACCGAAGGUCAUUUUGCAUAUAAUUUAAAACCAACAUUCUAGUUAUAAGGUUUUUAAUUUGCUCAUCUAUGAUUACCCUAGGUUAGUAGAAAUAAAGUCACUGUAGGCAACACAUGAUAACCGUAAAAGAACUGUAUGCUUCCUUGUGUCUUCGGAUCAAAGCUAUUUGGGUAACAUAUUGAUUUGUCCUUAUUAUUUGAGCUUCUGUUUGUACAUGAUCAUGGAGAGCUUUUACUAAGUACUCUCAAUAUGUUCUUGCCAUAAUAUUUCUUUACAGGAGGAUGGACAUAUUGUAUUUCCCUGAUCAUUGAUGCUUCAUAUCUAUGUAAUGAUGAAACUAGUAAUAGAUGUACAGUAGCUCUGAACAAGAAAAAGCAUAAACAAGACUUUUUCUGAGUGUCUGAACCAGCCUUGGACAUGUGCAGAUGUGCAAACAGAUGUCUAAAAUCUAGUCAUGGAUAAGGAAAAGUGGUCUACAUAUUAUUGCUAGUUAGCAGUAACCCGAAGUUAUACAACGCCAUUGAGAAUUCAACUAAUGCUCCAUCAUUUUUCUUGCACAUUGUUAUUGCUAGCCUUCAAAGGAGGUGUUUUCUGACCAGAACAUUUGUUGAAAGUUUUGAGUUAGAAAAAAAAAAGGGGUUUCUGUGGCGGUAAACAAGAUUGCCAAAAUGUGAUUAUUAAGACAACAAAUUUUAAUGUAGCCACCACUAAAAUUUGCUCCAUGGUAGGUUUCAGAAAUGGCUUAAACAUUGAUAUAAAAUAAGGCUACUAAAAUAAUAAUAGAUUGAUAUUCUGACAUAUUUCACAAAAUUCCAACUCCCAUGUCUUAUUCGUAAUUUAUGAAUUUUCUUUUCAUGUCCAUUUUCUUUUCACCAUUGACUAUGAAUGUAUGUGUGGCUUGUAAAAAAAAAUCAAAUUUACAUUCCAAGUAGUUUGGUUGUAUGCAAAUGUUUUCCUUGUACAAUGUCUCCCUCUAAGUCGAAUAAUGUUCCGAUGUUAACAUAAAAGAAUACUGUAUAGGAACUCUUUGAGAAUCUAAAGACUGAAUUCAGAAGUGAAGUUGAACUCUUGGCCAAAAUUGAUCACCGAAAUCUUGUGAAGCUGCUUGGCUACGUUGAUAAAGGAAAUGAGCGCCUUAUUAUUACUGAAUUUGUGCCAAAUGGUACUCUUAGAGAACAUCUGGAUGGUAAGACUAUUUAUCUAUAAGAUUGAUUAAUAUCCUAAUUCAUACAGCAAUGUCAGUGUUCAUAGUUGGCUACUACUUCUGGCAGGUCAGCGGGGGAAAAUCCUGGAUUUCAAUCAACGACUUGAAAUCUCCAUUGAUGUUGCUCAUGCCCUGACUUACCUCCAUCUAUAUGCAGGUGAGAGAACUGUUUGUUUAGUUAAUCUGUUCCUUAAAUUGUUAUAGAAAACUUCAUUUGUACAUCAUCGAAACUCUAAUUCAUAGCUUGAAAAUACAGGAAGAGGACUAGGAUUUAUUUGGGGUUGGAAUGUUUGCCUUAGAAUUCCAAAUUUCCUUUUUAUUUUUCCUCAUUCUUCUCCAUAAACAAGCAAAGAGAACAAGAGUUCACAAACAGAUUUUAUUUGAUGCCUUCAAGAUGCGGAUGUCCUUGGCUUGUACCUUACUCAUAUUAGCUCAGAAGGAAAAAAUUCAGUGAUGAAAAUAAUUCAGUUUCUUAACCAUGACUAUUUGGAUGAUAAACAGAGCCUUAUUCCACGCCUUACACAAGAAGUCAUAUUGGCCUAUUCCAGCCUGUUGAAAAUUACAUUUCCAUCAAAGCACACCCCACUUUGCCAACCCAAAACAUCUGUAGGUCUUUUUCAUCAAUUCCGUCCUUUUUAUUUGUUUCUUUCCCUUUUUCCUUCUUUCUUCCCCACCCCACCCCCUCCCUCCUCUCUCUGUCUUUCUCCUUGUUUUUUUGUCUUUUUUCUUUUUUCUUUUUAUUUUCCCCUCCCCUUAUUUAGCACCUUCCUACCAUUUUAUCUUCAGUAGUGCCAUUUUGUGACCAAUUGAGACUAGAAACAUCAAGGCAUCUCAUCUUAAAGAGCAAUUAAUUUGUCAAAUUCUGAUUCAAAGCUGUUACAUGAUGUAAGCUUGCUGCAAUUGUGACUUUCUUGUCCCACUGUCAAUUGUCUUUAUGUUAACUGCUAUUGCCAUGUAAUCUAUGUUUCAUACUUGCUAGAAUUCCUUUCUUCCCCUUAUCUAAUUAUUUUUCUUGUCACUGUUUUAUAGUUUUUAAAAGCUCAUAAGCAUCAUUUAGAUGUCUUUUCAUACACUUAAUUGUCUUCUAAAAUUGUCUAAGUAAAAAAGAUAAGCUCAGCACUAAACUUCCCCCAGAAGGAAGUCAAAUUUGUUGUGCAUUGUGCUGCAUGUCUGUGAAAAUGAAACUAAGACUUACAUUGGUUAUAAAUUUGAUUUUUGAGCCACUUGAUGCCUAUUAUUUUGUUACCUUACAGAGAAGCAAAUUAUCCAUCGAGAUGUGAAGUCAUCCAACAUUCUUCUGACGGAGGGCUUUAGAGCUAAAGUGGCUGAUUUUGGAUUUGCAAGGCUUGGUCCAGUAGACGCUGAGCAAACACAUAUUUCAACCAAAGUGAAAGGGACAGUUGGUUACCUUGAUCCUGAGUACAUGAGGACCUAUCAACUCACCCCCAAGAGCGAUGUGUACUCAUUUGGGAUUUUGCUAAUAGAAAUUCUGACUGGGCGCCGGCCUGUGGAAUUAAGGAAAUCUACCGACGAGAAAGUGACACUUAGAUGGGUAAGUUUAAAUUCCUUAUCUUCACAAGUUAUUGAUUUUGUGGUCGUCAUGUUUGCUUACAUUCAACCUCUACCAUUGUUACAUAACAAGACAACGAUGCCCCUACCAUAACAUUAUUGGGCUAGAUUCAACCCAAGUUACAGAACUGAUUGGCCUAGCAAGGUUAACCCCUCAUUUUCAACCAAUGCUCCAAAUCAGAGUCCACACAUACCCCAACCUAAUCCAUUGGACUGGACUGGAAUGACCCAAGCUUGGUAAUCUGAGAUGUUGAUAUAAAAUAUUCAAAGCUUUACAAUUUUUAUCAUCUGAUAUUAGAUGUUUCUAACUUGAAACUGUUUUAUUCCUAUGAAAACUAAAACCAUCCCUAUUUGCAAGUAUAUCAGUUCAUAUGUGUUGGGUUGUGAGUUUUGCUCUCAAACUGGGUGAGAACUAUCAUUGCCAUUCCAAAUUGAGCCCAUUCAACCUAUCCUUGAUCCAUGGUGCUCUAUGGGUAAUCCACCAAAAAUAUGCUAUCUUGUUGCCGGGUUAGAGAAGUCAGCUUUUAGUAACUUGUUUUUAUUCAAUGAUGUGUUCCCUGCCAACAAGGGCGACUGCUAGUCUAUUUCAGUACUCUCAGAUUAUGUUUUGUUAUUGUGCAGGCCUUCAAAAAGUACAAUGAAGGAAAUGUAGUGGAAUUGGGGGAUCCUUUAAUGGAGGAGGUGGUAGACACAGAGAUACUUAAUAAAAUGUUUGGUUUGGCAAUCCAGUGUGCAGCACCCAUAAGAUCUGAUCGGCCGGACAUGAAAUCGGUGGGAGAGCAGUUGUGGGGUAUAAGGAUGGACUAUGUUAGGAGUGUAAGGAGGGGCUAGUAGCAAAGUGCAUUUUAGAGUGACCUGGCCUUUCUCAUAUUCGUUUACCUUUCUUCUCUUAUUCUUUUUCCUGUUUAGGUAUGUAAAACGAAAGCUGGUCUCAAAACAAAACCUACUCCCACUUUGGCCUUUUCCCUGCCACCUCAUUUUUCAUUCUUAAAAAGGGAUUUCUGUA
RNAcentral lists this long non-coding RNA (5529 nucleotides) under Vitis vinifera (wine grape). Its description in RNAcentral is "long non-coding RNA (VVIN_LNC003444)". The record is from RNAcentral. Lineage: Eukaryota; Viridiplantae; Streptophyta; Magnoliopsida; Vitales; Vitaceae.